CGCGUAGGCGGUUUGUACAGUCAGACGUGAAAUUCCUGGGCUCAACCCUGGGGGCUGCGUUUGAUACGUGCAGACUUGAGUUCGGAAGAGGGUCGUGGAAUUCCCAGUGUAGAGGUGAAAUUCGUAGAUAUUGGGAAGAACACCGGUGGCGAAGGCGGCGACCUGGUCCGAUACUGACGCUGAGGCGCGAAAGCGUGGGGAGCAAACA
RNAcentral lists this ribosomal RNA (208 nucleotides) under uncultured bacterium. Its description in RNAcentral is "partial 16S ribosomal RNA". It matches the Rfam family "Bacterial small subunit ribosomal RNA", at positions 568 to 774 of the family's 1533-position model. The record is from RNAcentral.